RNAcentral lists this ribosomal RNA (395 nucleotides) under uncultured bacterium. RNAcentral describes it as "partial 16S ribosomal RNA". It matches the Rfam family "Bacterial small subunit ribosomal RNA", at positions 523 to 917 of the family's 1533-position model. The record is from RNAcentral.
AUACGUAGGUGGCAAGCGUUGUCCGGAUUUACUGGGUGUAAAGGGCGUGUAGGCGGAGAUGCAAGUCAGGAGUGAAAUCUAGGGGCUCAACCCCUAAACUGCUUUUGAAACUGUAUCCCUUGAGUAUCGGAGAGGCAGGCGGAAUUCCUUGUGUAGCGGUGAAAUGCGUAGAUAUUAGGAGGAACACCAGUGGCGAAGGCGGCCUGCUGGACGACAACUGACGCUGAGGCGCGAAAGCGUGGGGAGCAAACAGGAUUAGAGACCCUGGUAGUCCACGCUGUAAACGAUGAAUACUAGGUGUGGGGGGACUGACCCCCUCCGUGCCGCAGUUAACACAGUAAGCAUUCCGCCUGGGGAGUACGGUCGCAAGAUUAAAUCUCAAAUGAAUUGACGGG